Molecule: ribosomal RNA, 379 nt
Filed under: Rana dybowskii
Lineage: Eukaryota; Metazoa; Chordata; Amphibia; Anura; Ranidae
Description: partial large subunit ribosomal RNA
Rfam family: Bacterial large subunit ribosomal RNA
Source: RNAcentral
CUUGUUCUUUAAAUAGGGACUUGUAUCAACGGCACUACGAAGGCUAUACUGUCUCCUUUUUCUAAUCAGUGAAACUGAUCUCCCCGUGAAGAAGCGGGGAUUAAAGUAUAAGACGAGAAGACCCCAUGGAGCUUUAAACUCACCAUGCACCUCUGUGCUCCUACGCCCUUAAACACAAUAGGUCUGCAUGUUAGUUUUAGGUUGGGGUGACCACGGAGUAUAACUUAACCUCCAUAGCAAAUGGGCUAAUACCCUUAUCCACGAGACACAACUCUAAGAAUUAUUAAACUAAUGCUUACGACCCGAUAUUCGAUCAAUGAACUAAGUUACCCUGGGGAUAACAGCGCAAUCUACUUCAAGAGCCCAUAUCGACAAGUAG